UGGGGAAUAUUGCACAAUGGGCGCAAGCCUGAUGCAGCCAUGCCGCGUGUGUGAAGAAGGCCUUCGGGUUGUAAAGCACUUUCAGCGGGGAGGAAGGCGAUAAGGUUAAUAACCUCAUCGACUGACGUUACCCGCAGAAGAAGCACCGGCUAACUCCGUGCCAGCAGCCGCGGUAAUACGGAGGGUGCAAGCGUUAAUCGGAAUUACUGGGCGUAAAGCGCACGCAGGCGGUCUGUCAAGUCGGAUGUGAAAUCCCCGGGCUCAACCUGGGAACUGCAUUGGAAACUGGCAGGCUAGAGUCUUGUAGGGGGGGGUAGAAUUCCAGGUGUAGCGGUGAAAUGCGUAGAGAUCGGGAGGAAUACCGGUGGCGAAGGCGGCCCCCUGGGCAAAGACUGACGCUGAGGUGCGAAAGCGUGGGGAGCGAACAGG
Molecule: ribosomal RNA, 429 nt
Filed under: Chloroflexota bacterium
Lineage: Bacteria; Bacillati; Chloroflexota
Description: Chloroflexi bacterium partial 16S ribosomal RNA
Rfam family: Bacterial small subunit ribosomal RNA
Source: RNAcentral